GCCGGGCAUGGUGGCGCAUGCCCGUAAUCCCAGCUACUCAGGAGGCUGAGGCAGGAGAAUUGCUUGAACCUGAGGGGUGGAGGUUGCAGUGAGCCAAGACAGAGCCACUGCACUCCAGCCUGGGUUACAGAGUGAGACUCUGUCUCAA
Non-coding RNA from Nomascus leucogenys (northern white-cheeked gibbon), 148 nucleotides. It matches the Rfam family "Metazoan signal recognition particle RNA". Rfam says of the family: The signal recognition particle (SRP) is a universally conserved ribonucleoprotein. It is involved in the co-translational targeting of proteins to membranes. Lineage: Eukaryota; Metazoa; Chordata; Mammalia; Primates; Hylobatidae. The record is from Rfam.